AUACGUAGGUGGCAAGCGUUGUCCGGAAUUAUUGGGCGUAAAGCGCGCGCAGGCGGUUCUAUAAGUCUGAUGUGAAAUCUUGCGGCUUAACCGCAAGCGGUCAUUGGAAACUGUGGGACUUGAGUACAGAAGAGGAGAGUGGAAUUCCACGUGUAGCGGUGAAAUGCGUAGAUAUGUGGAGGAACACCAGUGGCGAAGGCGGCUCUCUGGUCUGUCACUGACGCUGAGGCGCGAAAGCGUGGGUAGCAAACAGGAUUAGAUACCCUGGUAGUCCACGCCGUAAACGGUGAGUGCUAGGUGUUGGGGGUUUCCACCCUCAGUGCUGAAGUUAACACAUUAAGCACUCCGCCUGGGGAGUACGGCCGCAAGGCUGAA
Molecule: ribosomal RNA, 375 nt
Filed under: uncultured bacterium
Lineage: Bacteria
Description: bacterial SSU rRNA
Rfam family: Bacterial small subunit ribosomal RNA
Source: RNAcentral